UGAGUAAUAUUGGACAAUGGGCGCAAGCCUGAUCCAGCCAUGCCGCGUGCAGGAAGAAGCAUCUAUGGUGUGUAAACUGCUUUUGUACGGGAAGAAACACUCCUACGUGUAGUAGCUUGACGGUACCGUAAGAAUAAGGAUCGGCUACCUCCGUGCCAGCAGCCGCGGUAAUACGGAGGAUCCAAGCGUUAUCUGGAAUCAUUGGGUUUAAAGUGUCCGUAGGCGGUUUAAUAAGUCAGUGGUGAAAGCCCAUCGCUCAACGAUGGAACGGCCAUUGAUACUGCUAGACUUGAAUUAUUAGGAAGUAACUAGUAUAUGUAGUGGAGCGGUGAAAUGCUUAGAUAUUACAUGGAAUACCAAUUGCGAAGGCAGGUUACUACUAAUGGAUUGACGCUGAUGGACGAAAGCGUGGGGAGCGAACA
This 422-nucleotide ribosomal RNA is filed under the name uncultured bacterium. Its description in RNAcentral is "bacterial SSU rRNA". It matches the Rfam family "Bacterial small subunit ribosomal RNA", at positions 355 to 774 of the family's 1533-position model. The record is from RNAcentral.